This 470-nucleotide ribosomal RNA is filed under the name uncultured bacterium. RNAcentral's name for it is "partial 16S ribosomal RNA". It matches the Rfam family "Bacterial small subunit ribosomal RNA", at positions 28 to 523 of the family's 1533-position model. The record is from RNAcentral.
GACGAACGCUGGCGGCGUGCCUAACACAUGCAAGUCGAGCGAGGAACUUCGGUUCCUAGCGGCGGACGGGGGAGUAACACGUGGGGAACCUGCCUCAGAGAGGGGGAUAGCCUCCCGCAAGGGAGAUUAAUACCGCAUAACAUGUUUUGAUUGCAUGGUCGAAACAUUAAAGGAGUAAUCCGCUAUGAGAUGGACCCGCGGCGCAUUCGCUAGGUGGAGAGGUAACGGCUCACCAAGGCGACGAUGCGUAGCUGACCUGAGAGGGUGAUCGGCCACAUUGGAACUGAGAAACGGUCCAGAAUCCUACGCGAGGGAGCCGAGGGGAAUAUUGCACAAUAGGCGAAAGCCUGAUGCAGCAACGCCGCGUGAGUGAUGAAGGCCGUCGGGUUGUAAAGCUCUGUCUUUGGGGACGAUAAUGACGGUACCCGAGGAGGAAGCCACGGCUAACUACGUGCCAGCCGCCGCGGUAA